UACAGAGGGGGCAAGCGUUGUUCGGAAUUACUGGGCGUAAAGGGCGCGUAGGCGGCCCGCUAAGUCGAACGUGAAAUCCCUGGGCUCAACCCAGGAACUGCGUCCGAUACUGGCAGGCUUGAAUCCGGGAGAGGGAUGUGGAAUUCCAGGUGUAGCGGUGAAAUGCGUAGAUAUCUGGAGGAACACCGGUGGCGAAGGCGGCAUCCUGGACCGGCAUUGACGCUGAGGCGCGAAAGCCAGGGGAGCAAAGCAGGG
Molecule: ribosomal RNA, 255 nt
Filed under: uncultured bacterium
Lineage: Bacteria
Description: partial 16S ribosomal RNA
Rfam family: Bacterial small subunit ribosomal RNA
Source: RNAcentral